Molecule: non-coding RNA, 26 nt
Filed under: Homo sapiens (human)
Lineage: Eukaryota; Metazoa; Chordata; Mammalia; Primates; Hominidae
Source: RNAcentral
UGGCUGUGAUCGUCCUAUCAACUAUA